Molecule: long non-coding RNA, 6421 nt
Filed under: Sus scrofa (pig)
Lineage: Eukaryota; Metazoa; Chordata; Mammalia; Artiodactyla; Suidae
Description: lncRNA (ENSSSCG00005033523.1)
Source: RNAcentral
UUUUUUUUUUUUUUUGUCUUUUGUCUUUUUAGGGCCACACCCUUGGCAUAUGGAGGUUCCCAGGCUAGGGGUCUAAUUGGAGCUAUGGUCGCCGGCCUAUGCUGUGCCACAGCAACUCGGGAUCUGAGCCGUGUCUGCCAUCUACAGUACAGCUCACGGCAAAGCUGGAUCCCUAACCCAUUGAGCAAGUCCAGGGAUGGAUCCCACGUCCUCAUGGAUACUAGUCAGGUUUGUUAACCACUGAGCCAUGACAGGCACUUCCUUUGUAUUAUAGCAUGUUUAUUUCCUAUUGGUCCAAGUAGUUUUUCUUUUCUUUUUUUCUCCACUUUUUAAUUAUGUUUGAAUAAGGAGAAAUUUAUCUAGCCUUGGAAUUUGUCAACAGGGCACACAGCCUGUCCUUAGUGAGCCGAUAAACUCACUUCUCAGAUCUAUAGUUAAAAUGUAGGUUGAAAUGCCUAGCUCCUACUUCACUUUACACUGAACAGAAGAGUUUUGUGUAGUAUGGCUUUAAUCCUAUCACCCUUCUUUAUUCUUUAACAGGCCGCAAUGAUGCUAUAAAUGAACAACUACCAUUUUCAACAUCUUCACUAUUUUUGGAACCCUUUCCUUGUUAUCCCUUCCCACAAACUUUCUAAUAGUUAAUCAUCACCCUAACACCACCUUCAAUUUCUGUCUUGUUUUCUGAGACCAAGUCACUACUUAGAUAUAUGAAGAUAGGGAGUAGGGAAGAAAAAGUACUCUAGCCACUUCAAACAGAAAGAAGCUUCACCAGGUGAAAAUAUGGCUGGCCAGUUUUGUAGUUAGUGUGAACUUUUUGAGCCAUGAUAUAGACCAACACUGUCCAAAUAUAAAGAAAGCUACAAAUGCAAGCCAUGUAUGUAUUUUAAAUUUUCUAGUAGCCACAUUGAAAAAUUGCUCAGUAGUCACAUGUGGCUGGUGGCUACAGUACUGGAGAAUGCAGGCUCCAAUAAUCAGGGAGUGUUAUGGAAGUCUCAAUGCCUAUGUUUAUCUUCAGGGGAUUUUUUUUUUUUAAUGAGUGAAGACUGGUUGAGUUAACUGUUUUUCCUCAUCCUAUGUCUUCACUCUCAUGGAAGGAACUAAAACCUCUGACUAUAUUCUAUAAAUAGAUUCAUUAUCAAUCUUAAUUUUUAGUGUUAUGAUUUUUUAUCUUUAUAUACUCAUAAGUGUUUUGUUGAAAAAUUGGGAGAUUGUUACCUAGACAUCAUCCUAAACUCUAAAUCAGAAAAAUUAAUUUUAAACAUAAUUUGUUCCCAUUAGGACAUCAAACAAGCUUUAAAACAACUGAGAAAAAUCCACCCUUUAAAAUAAAUUCAAAGCCCCUUGCAUGAUAAAAAUUCAUGAUAGCACAAUAUCUUUUCUGUAAUUUUUGUGUUUAUAACAAAACUGUGUGUUUGGACAGACUUUAAGUUGUUGCUCUCAAUUUGUAUUUUCUCUUUGGAGAGAUGAUGUGCAGUCAUGCAUCUAAAGCUUUCGCAGGAAGCUGAAAAAUGUUCCCAUUCUCUCCAUUUGUUUACCAAACAUGCUGCUCCACAGAAAACUAAACAAUCCUGAUGUUUCUGUUUCCAAAAGUGGCUAUUUUACAAGAAUGUGAUUAUCUUAGAAAGACAAUCCUGUUCUUUUAAAUGGUCAAGACUAACUAUCCUUUCUCUGCAUUAAGUUGACAAAAUUCAUACUCAAAAUUUCUGUAGUUGACAUCUUCCUUUUUAAUGGACAACCUUGGCAAUUUUUCUUCUGUUAUGACUUUAUAUUAAAAUGACCAAAACUCAAAAUGCAGAGAACUCAGGAAUAAAAUCAUAAAAGAAAUAUCAAGACUUGAGAUGCAUGCAAUAUAAAAACCUACAGUUGAUUCCUAAUACUAAGACUACUAUUUCAGAGAUGAGAAUUCUGUAAUAUGGCUUUUUUUACAAUAAUUAUAGUAUUAGUAUUUUUUCAAAAGAAUACCAAACUUAAUUAUCAAAAAUUUUAAUGCAUAUUUAGCAUUUUUGAUAUUGAAAUUUAGUAUUUUUUGAAAAAUUAAUUGAUUAAACAAAGCCAAAUUUGACUACAUUUUUGGAAACUUGAACAAGAUCUUUUUAAAAAGUGUUAUUGAAGUAUAGUUGAUUUACAAUGUUCUGAUAAAUUCUGCUGUACAACAAAGUGAUUCAGUUACACAUAAUCACAAAUCCAUUCUUUUUCAUUCCUUUCUAUAUAGGUUAUCACGGGAUAUGCAGUAGAGUUCCCUGUGCUAUACAGCAGGUCUCUAUUGAUAAUCUAUUCCAUAUCCAAAGUGUGCAAAUACCCAUCCAAACUCCCAACUGGACAUAAUAUCUUAUACACACAAAACACUAAAAGCUUUUAAAACAAAAAUACCAUUAGUGCUUUAAAAAUACUUAUAUUAGUGCAAUAAUGUAUACUUGUUCAUCCAUGAUGUAAAGGCGAAAGAAUCUUAAAAUUUUUGAAGAGGAGAAAGGUUUGGAAAGCUUGUUUACUUUUGAAAUUUUUAGUGACAUCACUACAUAUUCAAAUGGGACAGAAUACAGAAUUCCAUCAAUAUCUUCUAUUAAUUUAGUGCUGCUUUACUUAAUUUUGUAGGCAACACUUGUCCACAUGUCACAUUACUAAAAAUUAUAAAUUGUUUUUAGUUAGCAUGUGCCUGGUGCUCUUCAAAAGAAAAUGUUACAGAGUUCCCAUCAUGGCUCAGCAGAAUUGGAUCUGACUAGUAUCCAUGAAGAUGUGGGUUCAAUCCCUGGCCUUGCUCAGUGGGUUGGGGAUCCAGUGUUACUGUGAACUGUGGUGUAGGUCACAGACAUGGCUCGAUCAUGCACUGUUGUGGCUGUGGUGUAGGCUGGCAGCUGUAGCUCAGAUUAGACCCUAACCUGAGAACUUCCAUAUACCGCUGGUAUGGUCCUAAAAAAAAAAAAACAAAACAAAGAAUAAAUUAAUUGAAUGACAAUAAAAGUAAAGUAACAUGAAAUAAUGGUCCUCAUUUUUAGUUUUUAAAGCUAUCUAAGGAUGAAAAGAAUGAGAAGAAAUCAACACCUUCCAUAACCAUUCCUUCAGCACUUGACUUUGUUCAGAAUGUGAGCACAUCUCUAAUAUUGUUUGUUUUAAAUUGGUUCAGUUGGUGCAUUCUGUUUACUUUGAACAUCUUGGAAUUCCAAAUCUGUAAACUGCAUUCCAACCAAACAGCAAUAUACCCUUCAUAGAGUAAAAUCUCUCCAAGAAAAAUGAGAUUAGCUCAUUUUAGUGAGAGAUAAGUUCAUGAAGACACUUGAAGGUUGAUGGAAUGUCUGGAGUCAGAGUUCUUUUCAAGUACCUUGAGUUCAAUGAUUUAAUUUAAAUUAAUUUAAUUCAAUGCCCACUUAUUGAACAUCUCCUAUGAGCAAGACACUUUGGGGAUACAGAUAGGUAUAAGUUGCUGCCACUAAGAAACUCAUGAUGCUAAAGAGUAAACAUAUCCACUGUUAAAUAUACCAGAAGGAAGAAUAUGGUUCGUUCUCGGAACACAGAGGAGGGAUAAGUCAAAUUGAGGCCAGGAGACUGGGAAGAAUUCAUGUUCAGUACUGCAGCAGUCAUCAUGUGCCUACUAGGGAGAUAUUACUGAUGCGGAGACAGGCAGAGCAGAAAAGCAGCAAGAGUUUGUGGGUCCUUGAUGAUAUCUUUGAACCACUAACAUCCCAGAAACUGCCUACCUCUGGACUUUUUUUUUUUUUUUUUUUUUCCUUUUUCACUGGACCCACAGGAUAUGGAAGCUCCUGGGCCAGGGAUGGAAACCAAGACAAAGCUGUGACCUACGCCACAGCUGCAGCAAUGGCAGAUCCUUAACCCACUGCACCGGGCUAGGGAUCAAACCAGCAAUGCCAGAGACAAGCCAGAUCAUUAAUCCACUGUGCCACGGCAGGAACUCCUGGUCUUCUCUCUUGAUUAGGAAAAGUUUAAGGUAACACCACUUUCAGGCCAUCAUUCUUGCUGAAAUCAUCUUUUAUGUUAGGGCCCAGAAAUCUGGCUGAGACAUAAGAAGAGGCUGAAUGAAGCUUACAUGUUGCAAUGGGAAUAGACAGGUAGGACCAAAUGCAAAAAGCUGGAAAGAGAGGAAUCUGUGUUUCUGAAUAUGGAAGGUUGGGGAGAAGGAGAAGUCAGAGACAUCUGCUUGAAUGUUUACAUGACUACUGUCCAUCUCAAUUGGAAUGAAAGAGCUGGAAGAGGGUUGAGGGGGGAGAGCACUGAGUAUAAUUUUGGUCUUGAGUUAGAAAACCAAGAAAAAAUUAACUCUGAACCAAAUGGUACCUUAGUUUUAUGAGGAAAUCAGCAUGACUGUUUCCCCAAUGGGUUAAGUAUGCCUUGUUCACUCCAUACCAAAGUUACAUUUAGCCAAAGUUGACUUUAAUAUCGCACAGAAAUCACUGGUCUGCUUCUUCCUGUUUGAGCCAAGCAGUUCCAAUAAACAUAUAGUCUGCUUUCUUCUGAAAUCUGACUAAACUGAGAACAAAAAAAUAAAAGGUGUUUAGAUCCACAAAGGCCAAGAGAAUGGGCUCCCUUUCUCGGGAGGCUAUGGAGCAAUGCUAACCAGCAAAAUGAGGGAAUGAUUCAAGAGGACAAUGUUGGGUUCUUGAAUUAAGGCACCCAGCACAGAAAAGAGGUGAAGGAAAUUCCUAGGAUGAUGAGAAUGGAUGAUAGCAACAAGCCUAAAGAAAAGCAGCUAGUAUAGCCUCGAGCUAGAAGUUACAAACAGGAGGAAAGUUCGGGGGGGUAGAUGGGGGUGUUUCUAAUGUAACCUCCAAUGAAUCUGUAGUCUUAUGCACCCAAGAAAAAGAGAAGAACUAGUAUGAUUAUAACACCAGCCAAUCUUUAUGAGUGCCCAAAGCUGAAGAGUCAAGUUAUAGCCGUCAAAGCUUACACAGAGGAGAAUAAACAAGGAGUUGAAGGCAACUGGCCUGGGGAGCUGGAAUCAAAAGUAAGGAAGAGGGCACCAGGAACUGCUCUACAAUUUAUUGUAAUAACAAUUCCAGAACAAUUUGCUCUUUUAAUCAUACAAACUAAUCAUACAAAUAAUUUUAACGAAAAUAAAAAUUUUAAAGAAAACGAAAAGGUGAGUAACCCACCCAGAGAACUUACUCAGAAGAAUAGAUUACAGCCACCCCACUGAUGGAACCCUUUAUUCAAUGAAUUCUAUCCUUCCACUCUGUUUCUGGCUAGCCUAGUGAUUUAGCAUAAAUUCUGAUCUCCCCUUCCUGGCAAAUCUUACUAGAGCAGGCUAAACAAUGGAGAACCCCUUGGAGGGACACAAGAAAGAUUUAUUUCCUGAAAACAGCUGAGCCACAGUCUCUCAUAGUAUGGGUGACAAAAACACACUUUAAAUCUCUAUUCAAAAUUAUGAUUUACAUUUUUGAUCCAAGUAUUCUGGUCAGUGUAAAUAAUUCUGGGAAUUAAAUCAGAGCUAGUUUGAACUGGAUAAGCAUUUGCUAAGUCACUGUAAGUUCUUAAGAAUAUGUGAAAGCCACGUUGUACACAAUUAAAAUAUUAAAUUACACAUGAAUAGAACCUCUUUGACUCUUUAAAAAAUAACACAUGGAAAUUUAUCUUCUUCCAUGAAGGGAUGUAAAAAGGCUGCCAAAAGGAAAAAGGGAAGAUUUUCAUUUGUAAAUACUGCCUCUAGUAUUAGAAAUCUAAAAUUAAAGAGAAGUAAUGCAACAUUAAGUCAACCAGUCCAAUACCCUUUAUUCGCAGAUAGAGGAGCAGAGGUCCAGGAAGGCAAAAUGACUUGCUUAGCACAAACAAACAAACAAACAAACAAAAACAAAAAACACUAUGGAAAGGCAGAGAAAAUGACCAAAACCUGACUUCCAAUCUAUUGUCAAUGCCCCUUAAGUGUGGUUCAGUUACCUUUGCUGACAGGACAUGCUAUUGCCAGGCUGGAGGAUGGGGCUCCUGGCACAAAGUGCCCAUGAAGGUGGGCUUUUCAACCAGGCAGCAAGUAAAGUGCAGAACAAGGGCUGAGCUAAUGCACUGCACACAAUGCGACUCAGACCUGUGUCAGGAGGAAAAUUCACAGGUUUUUCAAAAGACAGUAAAGUGCUUGGAAGCUUGUUUUAAAGGAUUGGAACGCUCCUACAUCUUUUCUGUUCCUUUCAUGUGCACAGUAAAAGAGCAGAGGUAUUCUAUUUCCAUGUAGGUUUUUGAGCGUGAGACCAAGAAAGCUACUGAUGUGAAUCUACUCUUCAGUGACACAGCACUUCAACAAGCCAUCACUAGCACAAGCCGGGAUGAUGGCCAUUUGACCCUCCUUCUUAGGUAUUUGACAUCAGCUUCAAGACAGCCUCUCCCCAAAUGUGAGUUUCAAACGUUGCUUGUAGACACGCUCCAAUGAAGGAAAUCAGCAGUUGCAAUGUGUACAUAUCCUCCACACUUUUUUCCAAUGUAC